This 1276-nucleotide ribosomal RNA is filed under the name metagenome. RNAcentral describes it as "SSU rRNA". It matches the Rfam family "Eukaryotic small subunit ribosomal RNA", at positions 119 to 1367 of the family's 1831-position model. The record is from RNAcentral.
GAAUGUAUGAGAAUACUACUUGGAUAACCGUAGUAAUUCUAGAGCUAAUACAUGCAACGACGCCCGACCGUUUCACUACGGAAGGGCUGUAUUUAUUGGAUACCAAAACCAUCCUUCCCUCGGGAAGUUUUGUUUGAUGAUUCACAAUAACUGAUCGGAUCGCCACUGUGGUGGCGACAGGUCAUUCAACAUUCUGCCCUAUCAGCUUUCGAUGGUUGUGUAGUGGACAACCAUGGCCAUAACGGGUAACGGAGAAUCAGGGUUCGAUUCCGGAGAAGGAGCUUGAGAAUUGGCUACUACAUCUAAGGAAGGCAGCAGGCGCGCAAAUUACCCGAUCCCGAUUCGGGGAGGUAGUGACAAAAAAUAACAAUACCGGGCCUUUUUGGGCUUGGUAAUUGGAAUGAGGGAGAGUUAAACGGACCAUCGAGUAUCCAUUGGAGGGCAAGUCUGGUGCCAGCAGCUGCGGUAAUACCAGCUCCGAUAGCGUAUAUUAAAGUUGUUGCAGUUAAAAAGCUCGUAGUUGGACUUGUGUGCGCUGUCCGCGGGUGGCCUGCGCCCAAAAGGGCGUUUCGGUUCGGCCCCGGUGGCGCCUUGAAAUCUGCAGCUGGGGGGACGUUGGCCUUAACUGGUCGGCGACCGCACGCCGGCUGCUCGGUUACUGUGAGAAAAUUAGAGUGUUCAAGGCAGGCAUUGGGUGCAAUUGAAUACAUUAGCAUGGAAUAAUAAAAUAUGGCUCCUGCCGUAUUUUGUUGGUUUUGACUGGUGGGAGUAAUGAUUGAUAGGGACGGUUGGGGGUGCUAGUAUUGAGCGGCCAGAGGUGAAAUUCAUGGAUUCGCUCAAGACUAACUUAUGCGAAAGCAUUCACCAAGGACGUCCUCUUUAAUCAAGAACGAAAGUUGGGGGAUCGAAGACGAUCAGAUACCGUCGUAGUCUCAACCAUAAACUAUGUCGACUUGGGAUCGGCGGUAGUUUUUUCAUUAAGACACUGUCGGGACCACGGGAGAAAUCAAAGUGUCUGGACUCUGGGGGAAGUAUGGUCGCAAGGCUGAAACUUGAAGGAAUUGACGGAAGGGCACCACCAGGAGUGGAGCCUGCGGCUUAAUUUGACGCAACACGGGGAAACUUACCAGGUCCAGAGAUGUAGGGGAUUGACAGAUUGAAGCUCUUUCUUGAUCACUUCGGUGGUGGUGCAUGGCCGUUCUUAGUUGGUGGAGUGAUUUGUCUGGUUAAUUCCGUUAACGAACGAGACCUCAGCCUGCUAGUGUAGUCGGCUGGA